This 314-nucleotide ribosomal RNA is filed under the name uncultured bacterium. RNAcentral's name for it is "bacterial SSU rRNA". It matches the Rfam family "Bacterial small subunit ribosomal RNA", at positions 28 to 334 of the family's 1533-position model. The record is from RNAcentral.
GGUGAACGCUGGCGGCGUGCUUAACACAUGCAAGUCGAACGAAGCAAUUGGAGUGCUUGCACUUUGAUUGACUGAGUGGCGGACGGGUGAGUAACGCGUGGGGUAACCUGCCUCACACAGGGGGACAACAGUUGGAAACGGCUGCUAAUACCGCAUAAGCGCACAGUACCGCAUGGUACAGUGUGAAAACUCCGGUGGUGUGAGAUGGACCCGCGCCUGAUUAGCUAGUUGGUAGGGUAACGGCCUACCAAGGCGACGAUCAGUAGCCGGCCUGAGAGGGUGAACGGCCACAUUGGGACUGAGACACGGCCCAA